This 495-nucleotide ribosomal RNA is filed under the name uncultured bacterium. RNAcentral describes it as "partial 16S ribosomal RNA". It matches the Rfam family "Bacterial small subunit ribosomal RNA", at positions 28 to 507 of the family's 1533-position model. The record is from RNAcentral.
GACGAACGCUGGCGGCGUGCCUAAUACAUGCAAGUAGAACGCUGGAGGAGGAGCUUGCUUCUCUGGAUGAGUUGCGAACGGGUGAGUAACGCGUAGGUAACCUGCCUGGUAGCGGGGGAUAACUAUUGGAAACGAUAGCUAAUACCGCAUAACAGUAGAUAUCGCAUGAUAUCUACUUGAAAGGUGCAAUUGUAUCACUACCAGUUGGACCUGCGUUGCAUUAGGUAGUUGGUGAGGUAACGGCUCAACAAGGCGACGAUACAUAGCCGACCUGAGAGGGUGAUCGGCCCACCUGGGAACGAGACACGGCCCAGAAUCCUACGGGAGGGAGCAGUAGGGGAACUUCGGCAAUGGGGGGAAGGCUGAACGAGCAACGCCGCGGUAGGGAAGAAGGGUCUCGGGUCGUAAAGCUCUGUUGUAAGAGAAGAAAGAGUGUGAGAGUGGAAAGUUCACACUGUGACGGUACCUUACCAGAAAGGGACGGCUAACUACGUG